GGGCCAGGCGUGAAAUGACAUGGUUUGGCUUUGUGUCCCCACCCAAAUCUCAUUUUGAAUUGUAUUUCCCUAAUUUUCAUGUGUUGUGGCUGGCACUCAGUGGGAGGUAAUUGAGUCACGG
This is a long non-coding RNA of Nomascus leucogenys (northern white-cheeked gibbon), 121 nucleotides long. RefSeq lists it as uncharacterized. The record is from RefSeq and is a predicted model, not a curated record. The transcript has 3 exons. NCBI's taxonomy places the organism in Eukaryota, Metazoa, Chordata, Mammalia, Primates, Hylobatidae.